GAUUGACCUCGGAUCAGGUAGGGAUACCCGCUGAACUUAAGCAUAUCAAUAAGCGGAGGAAAAGAAACCAACAGGGAUUGCCUCAGUAACGGCGAGUGACGG
Molecule: ribosomal RNA, 102 nt
Filed under: Oropogon secalonicus
Lineage: Eukaryota; Fungi; Ascomycota; Lecanoromycetes; Lecanorales; Parmeliaceae
Description: partial 28S ribosomal RNA
Rfam family: Eukaryotic large subunit ribosomal RNA
Source: RNAcentral